Molecule: RNA transcript, 1373 nt
Organism: Populus euphratica (Euphrates poplar)
Lineage: Eukaryota; Viridiplantae; Streptophyta; Magnoliopsida; Malpighiales; Salicaceae
Gene name: 40S ribosomal protein S15-like
Exons: 2
Source: RefSeq, a predicted model, not a curated record
AUUGGGGAAGCUAAGAUGUGAAGCUUGUCCCUUCGGGGACAUCCGAUAAAAUUGGAACGAUACAGAGAAGAUUAGCAUGGCCCCUGCGCAAGGAUGACACGCACAAAUCGAGAAAUGGUCCAAAUUUUUUUUCUAAUCUCUGCUACUUUGCUCUCUCGCUGGCUUCCUUUCUCAUCUUCUUUUUUAAAUGUCAGGUGGGUGUGGAGACGGAAGUAACAGUGGCGAGAGGGUAGCCAAAGAAGAGAGCUUUCAAGAAGUUCAGUUCAGAGGCGUUGAUUUAGGUGCUUUCCUUGACAUGUCCACCGAUGUACUUGUCAAGCUCUUUCCCGCCGGAGCGGGCUGCAGGGUUUUGGGUUUAUUGCAACAACGGGUUUCAAAGAGGUGUGAAGAGGAAGCCAAUGACAUCGAUCAUGAAAUUGCGUAAAGCUGUAAGGUAAUUUCUUUUCUUCCAUCUCUCUCUGUAUUUGUUUAUGACUUCAUAAGAUAGCAAUUCACACUGUGCAAUUUGGUAUUGAGUAGUGUUAUCAUGUGUUCAUUUCACAUUAUGGGAUGUGUUUUCUUUUCUUUAUCUCUUCACUCUGUCUCUUGUUUGUGUUUAUCAAGUUUGCUCUGCAAUUGCAAUCAUGGUGCUUGAAAAGUUAUCGAAGAAGAAGCUCGAGUUUAUAACAGAAGGGCUGGUUUAUUCAAUAGAAGUUAGAAACGAUAUGUAUAGCUAUUAAUUGAAUAGAGUUCUGAUGACUGCCUCUGCGGUGUAACCAUUCUGCGUGCUUGCUUCCAUACCCUUCCAUGCAUGUAUUCAUGUAUGUGCAGUGCAGGUCACUGAAUUUUCAUUUGGGACUUGUUUGUGAAAAAUGCAUCAAACUAUGACCAUUUAUAAAACAGAGAUUCUAAAGCUGGUUCCAAAUCAAGUUGCCUUACAAGAAUAUUUUAAAUUUCCGGUUCAACCCUCAUGGUAUGGUAUAUUUUGAGUAUAGUCUGUGGUCUACUCUGUUUUUUGGUGGCUUGGAACAGAAAAGGGAGGCCCGGAUGGGGAGAAGCCAGAGCCCUUGAGGACUCAUCUUAGAAAUAUGAUCAUUGUGCCGGAGAUGAUUGGCCAUUAUCUUCCCGAGUUCCCAAUUUCUUACAAGCCCGUUAUGCAUGGAAGACUGGUAUUGGUGCAACACGCUCUUUCAGUUUCAUUUCAUUCCUCUCUAGUGAAAUGGGGCACUUACUUUGGGUGGAUGUGGAUUUUUCUGCACCUUUUUUCUUUCUCUAGUUAGGUUUUUGAUGAAUUGUUCUUGUGAACUUGUUAUGAUUACAUAAGCAUAUCCAGGGAAGCUAUGCGAUUGCAUUAGAAAUUAUAUUAUUAGUGAAAGCUGUUUCAAAUUACUCUU